This 484-nucleotide ribosomal RNA is filed under the name uncultured bacterium. RNAcentral describes it as "partial 16S ribosomal RNA". It matches the Rfam family "Bacterial small subunit ribosomal RNA", at positions 28 to 507 of the family's 1533-position model. The record is from RNAcentral.
AUUGAACGCUGGCGGCAUGCUUUACACAUGCAAGUCGAACGGCAGCGCGGGCUUCGGCCUGGCGGCGAGUGGCGAACGGGUGAGUAAUGCAUCGGAACGUGCCCAGUAGUGGGGGAUAGCCCGGCGAAAGCCGGAUUAAUACCGCAUACGACCUGAGGGUGAAAGCGGGGGACCGGAAGGCCUUGCGCUAUUGGAGCGGCCGAUGUCGGAUUCGCUAGUUGGUGGGGUAAAGGCUUACCAAGGCGACGAUCCGUAGCUGGUCUGAGAGGACGACCAGCCACACUGGGACUGAGACACGGCCCAGACUCCUACGGGAGGCAGCAGUGGGGAAUUUUGGACAAUGGGGGCAACCCUGAUCCAGCCAUGCCGCGUGCGGGAAGAAGGCCUUCGGGUUGUAAACCGCUUUUGUUCGGGAAGAAAUCCUCUGGGCUAAUACCCCGGGGGGAUGACGGUACCGGAAGAAUAAGCACCGGCUAACUACGUG